This is a long non-coding RNA of Paramisgurnus dabryanus, 307 nucleotides long. RefSeq lists it as uncharacterized. The record is from RefSeq and is a predicted model, not a curated record. Lineage: Eukaryota; Metazoa; Chordata; Actinopteri; Cypriniformes; Cobitidae.
UGCUCUGUUUUUCUGAAUUAACGAGAUCCCUCAAAAUCCUGCCAGAAGCUCUCACCUGUAACGUCAGGCCACAGUUGCUGAUGCUGCCUGACUACGACCACCACCACCAACAACAACAACAACAGUGCCAGGCAUACAUGGUUGCAGUGCAGGGCCAGCUAUGGCUACGUCUUCAAAUAACCCCCUCCCACAAGAUGAUGGUCUGUGGAUGUUUCUUCAGAGCCGAGGGAUUUCUGAGGAAAAUAUUCAGAAAUUGCAGCAAGACCAUAUUGACAGCUCGGUAGUUGGAGAAAUGGAUGAUGCCACU